GCUAUCACUGGCGGAAUCCUCAUAAAAAGGAAAAUCCCCUGAAAAGCUGACUUGAGACUUGCAGCCUAGAGGUAUUCCAGACUCUGCACAGUGACUUGAGAUGGAAGGAAAACCCAACCAAGGCAGAGGCCUGCAGAAUGGACGACGGAACCAGCUAAGGAGUGCACUGGCAGAAGACAGCAGUUCCCAGAGAUAUGCAUGCUGCAUCGUCCAACGGCAGGAAACAGACGCAGCCCAAUCUGGCCCUCGCUGCGGCGCGAAAUGGACUCUGGCUGCGGAGCCACCAGCCAGGCAGCGGCCAACACAAACAAGCUUCACAUUCACGGUCAUUUCAGAGCUCUGGUAAGGGUGAGAGCAGCUUGGCUCUGUGAAAGGGCUUUGUAAUCAGUACUUCUGGUUGAGAAAUAUUACAUGUUCUGUUAAGCUCUCUACCCAAAUCUCUAACUCUGAACAAG
This 455-nucleotide long non-coding RNA is filed under the name Cavia porcellus (domestic guinea pig). RNAcentral describes it as "lncRNA (ENSCPOG00000038540.1)". The record is from RNAcentral. Lineage: Eukaryota; Metazoa; Chordata; Mammalia; Rodentia; Caviidae.